UAAAUGGCGGUUUAUUGUUUUGUUAAGGAAAAGCAGUUAACCGAAAGCUGUAUGUCUCAUCUGGUCAUGAUAAGUGCAGAUAAACAAGUGUAAUGCUCCCGAAGAAUGUUUGGGCCAAACAAUAUUUAAGAAACAAAUAGUUGAUAAAAAUGCAGAAAGAUAUGGCCAAUUCAUUGAAGGUGACGACAUGCAGGUGUGACUGUAUGCACGACUGUUACUGCUGCCUGGGUAUUAUGUGAGCAAGAAACACGUCUGGAUUAUAAUUUGGACACACAUGUACAGCUGUUUUGUGAAUAUGAUAAAUUAUGUAUGCUAUAUUUGCAUUUUUGAUG
This is a long non-coding RNA of Dreissena polymorpha, 332 nucleotides long. RefSeq lists it as uncharacterized. The record is from RefSeq and is a predicted model, not a curated record. The transcript is spliced from 4 exons. NCBI's taxonomy places the organism in Eukaryota, Metazoa, Mollusca, Bivalvia, Myida, Dreissenidae.